This 639-nucleotide ribosomal RNA is filed under the name Fusarium oxysporum f. sp. ciceris. Its description in RNAcentral is "SSU rRNA". It matches the Rfam family "Bacterial small subunit ribosomal RNA", at positions 328 to 950 of the family's 1533-position model. The record is from RNAcentral. Lineage: Eukaryota; Fungi; Ascomycota; Sordariomycetes; Hypocreales; Nectriaceae.
GAGCAAAACAGCUAUGGGUCAAGUGAUGAGCAUAGGAGAAGUCUUAUUGUAAGGGCGAGUUUUAUAAACCAAAAAACUGGCCGUCCCAUAUGAAAAGAUUAUAUUAGAAUUGAAUGAAGCUUUGUUUAUAUAUUGAUAAUGACAGUUCUCUAUGUCGGGUCUUGACUAAUUGCGUGCCAGCAGUCGCGGUAAUACGUAAGAGACUAGUGUUAUUCAUCUUAAUUAGGUUUAAAGGGUACCCAGACGGUCAAUAUAGCUUAUAAAAUGUUAGUACUUGACUAGAGUUUUAUGUAAGAGGGCAGUACUUGAGGAGGAGAGAUGAAAUUUCGUGAUACCAAAGGGACUCUGUAAAGGCGAAGGCAGCCCUCUAUGUAAAAACUGACGUUUAAGGACGAAGGCACAGAGAACAAACAGGAUUAGAUACCCAAGUAGUCUUUGCAGUAAAUGAUGAAUGCCAUAGGUUAGAUGGGUGGGUAGUCUAGUUGAGUUAGUUUAGCAAACUAAUGAUCUAGACGAGCCCACCAUAUAUUUGGUCUAUAAAUGAAAGUGUAAGCAUUUCACCUCAAGAGUAAUGUGGCAACGCAGGAACUGAAAUCACUAGACCGUUUCUGACACCAGUAGUGAAGUAUGUUAUUUAAU